AGUGAACGCUGGCGGUAGGCCUAACACAUGCAAGUCGAACGGCAGCACAGUAAGAGCUUGCUCUUACGGGUGGCGAGUGGCGGACGGGUGAGGAAUACAUCGGAAUCUACUUUUUCGUGGGGGAUAACGUAGGGAAACUUACCCUAAUACCGCAUACGACCUACGGGUGAAAGCAGGGGAUCUUCGGACCUUGCGCGAUUGAAUGAGCCGAUGUCGGAUUAGCUAGUUGGCGGGGUAAAGGCCCACCAAGGCGGCGAUCCGUAGCUGGUCUGAGAGGAUGAUCAGCCACACUGGAACUGAGACACGGUCCAGACUCCUACGGGAGGCAGCAGUGGGGAAUAUUGGACAAUGGGCGCAAGCCUGAUCCAGCCAUACCGCGUGGGUGAAGAAGGCCUUCGGGUUGUAAAGCCCUUUUGUUGGGAAAGAAAAGCAGCAGGUUAAUACCCCGCUGUUCUGACGGUACCCAAAGAAUAAGCACCGGCUAACUUCGUG
This 492-nucleotide ribosomal RNA is filed under the name uncultured bacterium. Its description in RNAcentral is "partial 16S ribosomal RNA". It matches the Rfam family "Bacterial small subunit ribosomal RNA", at positions 29 to 507 of the family's 1533-position model. The record is from RNAcentral.